RNAcentral lists this long non-coding RNA (532 nucleotides) under Chrysemys picta bellii (western painted turtle). Its description in RNAcentral is "lncRNA (ENSCPBG00000019361.1)". The record is from RNAcentral. Lineage: Eukaryota; Metazoa; Chordata; Testudines; Emydidae.
CAGCCAAUGAGAAUUGGGUGCUCCUGGCACCAGCCAAUUGGGUUCCUUUUCUCCAUCCUAGGAAAGAGGGAGAAGAUGCCUCUGACCCCGCCCGGGACCCGCCAGCAUUACCUUCCCCGUCAGUUCCCGAAUGGGAGAGAAUCCGACCCCGUCGAGCCCCCGGCCCACCCCUCCCGGGCGUCUUCGCGCUGCUCCUGGGGGGAUGGCGACGUGUCCUCCAUCAGCUACGAGGAGCAUCUGCGCAUCCACGGCCCCCCCGCCCCCUGGCCUGGGCUUCCUGGAGACAGCAGAGGCCCCGGGCUCCCAUCUCUGGCCAGCUGGCAGGGCCCCAGGACAGCGCGCAGUGCCACGCGGGUGUGACUGGCACGGGAGAGCCAGCGUGGGAGCCAGGCGUCCGGGAGAGCCUUAUAGGGACCUGAGUGCCAGCAAUGAACCCAGGUGUCCGGGAGGCAUCGAUAGAAUGGACUGAGCCUGUAUAGGACGAGGCUCUGUGGAGCCCCCCUGAGUGUCCCCUGGCCCUGUGCUGGCCCCG